AGGCCUUUACUGACGCUAAAGCUCGAAGGUGCGGGUAUCGAACAGGAUUAGAUACCCUGGUAGUCCGCACGGUAAACGAUGGAUGCCCGCUGUUUGCGAUAUACUGUGAGCGGCCAAGAGAAAUCGUUAAGCAUCCCACCUGGGGAGUACGCCGGCAACGGUGAAACUCAAAGGAAUUGACGGGGGCCCGCACAAGCGGAGGAACAUGUGGUUUAAUUCGAUGAUACGCGAGGAACCUUACCCGGGCUUGAACUGCCAGCGAACGAUUCAGAGAUGAUGAGGUCCUUCGGGACGCUGGUGGAGGUGCUGCAUGGUUGUCGUCAGCUCGUGCCGUGAGGUGUCGGCUUAAGUGCCAUAACGAGCGCAACCCCUCUCUCCAGUUGCCAUCAGGUUAUGCUGGGCACUCUGGAGACACUGCCACCGUAAGGUGUGAGGAAGGUGGGGAUGACGUCAAAUCAGCACGGCCCUUACGUCCGGGGCUACACACGUGUUACAAUGGGUGGUACAGAGAGUUGGUCGUCUGCAAAUGCGAUCUAAUCCUUAAAGCCAUCCUCAGUUCGGAUUGGGGUCUGCAACCCGACCCCAUGAAGCUGGAUUCGCU
RNAcentral lists this ribosomal RNA (601 nucleotides) under uncultured bacterium. Its description in RNAcentral is "bacterial SSU rRNA". It matches the Rfam family "Bacterial small subunit ribosomal RNA", at positions 731 to 1336 of the family's 1533-position model. The record is from RNAcentral.